Betta splendens (Siamese fighting fish) is the source of this 2121-nucleotide long non-coding RNA. RefSeq lists it as uncharacterized. The record is from RefSeq and is a predicted model, not a curated record. Lineage: Eukaryota; Metazoa; Chordata; Actinopteri; Anabantiformes; Osphronemidae. The transcript is spliced from 2 exons.
CCCAGCUGGGUUUUGGUUUGUUGAUUAACACGUUUGUUGUAUUUCCUGUUAUUGUUGUUGUGUUUCUUGUUAGUGUUGUUGUGGUUCCUGUUAAUGUCGUUGUGUUUCAUCUUUUUCUUUGUUUGUGACUUGCACUUCAGGGCCACCGUACACCUCACCCCGACUCUCACACUCAGCACUGGUUCUUUUCAGGGCUGUGUUUUCAGCCCCCUGCUAUAUGCUCUGGGGCCCGUUUCAAGAAGGAGGUUUAACAAACUCUGAGUUAAAACGAAACUCUGAGUUGAUUUACUCUGAGUUUGCAAACCUGGAGUUUUCGGUUCCAGAACAGCUGAAAAGAGUUGGUUUAAGCAACUCUGAGUUGUCUGACUCAGAGUUAAACGCGUGCACCGCGACGAUACAAAGCCCUGAUCAAUGGAGUGAAGAUAUUACGAGUCACCAUGGCAACAGGACAACAAAUGGAUAUGUUACGUAAAGCAUAUAGCGACUACGAGCCUAUAAUCCGUAGAAAAGGCAACACUGCUGCAGCGGCGAAAGAGAAAGAAUUAGCUUGGAAGAAAAUAGCUCCUCGAGUCAAUGCGCGCAAUCCUGCAGACAUAAAGGAACGUGGCUAAAAAUGGAAUGUAAAAACAUAAUUCAAACAGGUAUAAGGCACCAUCAUGUCAUGGGUGUAGACUACCUGACUUUACAAUAUUUGAUAUAUUAAAUAACUAAAUAGCAUGCAGAGUAUAGCAGUGCAGCAGCAUUUUCAACAUGGCUGUAAUGUUUUCACACAGUUAAACAUUUGACUUCUACUCAGCCAACAGAAAGAAGGCAGAGGCUAGAACAACUGGUGGAGGACCUGCACCUCGCAGGAGGAGGUCAGUCACAUUUGCUGCACAGAUGCACACGGUUCAGUGAUGUUCAGUAAAUGCCAGAGUUCAAUUCUGUAAGAGUAAUGAGGAACAUGUCAUGUCAAGAUGUCAUGUAACUCUAAAUCUUCUGUAUUUUAAGUUACCGGUUAUUGAGUUGUAUAAACUAAAUCUCAAGGAAAUGUUAUACUUGUAUCACAAGAUUGAGAAGCCAGAUCUAGAAAUUGAAAUUCCCAAACACAAGCUGGAGAUGAGUGUAUAGUUAAAGGUGAAUUUUAUGAAUUAUUGGAAGAAUCAUAAAAUCUAACAUUUGCCUUUUGUAUUUGUAGGAAAUGAAAAAAAAACAAAUAAAUUAUGAUUUACAUCUAUUCAGUUUCUUUUAUUGGUGGUGGUGGGGAUGGUUGAUUAAGACAUUAAAGCAAAUCUGUCCAUCCACUCUGCAGAUUACUGUAAUGGAAGGAGUCUCCUCAGGGUCUUGUAUUUGUAGGGCAGGGUGUUGCUCCUCUCUAAUAAUUGCAAUAAUGUGGAGAACAACACAUGCCACAAUAAUGUCACAGGCCUCUCAGGUGUUUCCCUGAGGUGACGUAGACACUGAAGACGUGCUUUCAACAGGCCUAUGGUCAUUUCCACCCGGGCUCUUGUUCUGCAGGGCCACAUUAAAGCGCUGCUGGGGGCCUGCUUCAGGUUCUGGGUCAGGCGUCAGUAGUGUGCGCCUUCAUGGGUAACCCCUAUCUCCAGCAGAAAGCUGUCAAUCUCUCCUAGAAGAAAGUUCACAUUACUUUAGUGCUGCAUAGAAGUGUUCCUGUGAGUGUGAGUGCAUGCAUUGAAAUAAGUGUAUAGGACAUACAUGUACUUACCACAGUGCAGCCUGUUACUUAGGGUUGAAUCACGAUAUAUUCAUGAGUUCACGUUUAUGAUAUGUGCAGCAUCACAUAUGAUCUUGGUGAUGUAAACAAUGUGAUGUCAGUUACAGUGACCAUUAGAAAGAGUAGUCAGUGAACCUGCACAUUUAUCAGUUUAUUUCAGAUCACAGCAAGAUAUUAUUAACUGAUCAUCAUUUUUCAGAUUAGCCUCAAUGAAACAAAUUAAUUACCACAUACCUGCAAUCCUGUGAAACUCCUCUUUAAUGGCUUUAAGGAGUUUGUGUCAAGGAAAGCGCUUGAGGUCGAACUUUUCUACAUACAGUGGCUUUACUAAUGUGCUCAGCAUCUCCAAUGUUAUAAAGAAAACUACCGUUUGCAAAAAAAAAAAAAACGUAACGCAACACAAAGAA